This 249-nucleotide long non-coding RNA is filed under the name Lathyrus oleraceus (garden pea). RNAcentral describes it as "Pisum sativum (pea) long non-coding RNA (PSAT_LNC032874)". The record is from RNAcentral. Lineage: Eukaryota; Viridiplantae; Streptophyta; Magnoliopsida; Fabales; Fabaceae.
UUGUUUGAAAAUGAUUUUUUACUCUUGAGUUGUGUUUUGAGAGAUAUUUGAGUCAACUUUGAGGCAAGUGUGUUCUGUUGGGUUUACACCCUUUUGGGGAUUUUGUGCUCUUACUACUUCUUAUCCACCAUUUUCAAUCAAACUUUGUUUCUUGUUAUCAUUUAAUAUUUAUUGUUGACUUGUUGUUAUAUUUAUUUGGUUGAUGAGUUCUAUUAGAUCAUGGCCAUGGUUGUUUAGAGUUGAUUAAAU